Molecule: ribosomal RNA, 360 nt
Filed under: uncultured bacterium
Lineage: Bacteria
Description: bacterial SSU rRNA
Rfam family: Bacterial small subunit ribosomal RNA
Source: RNAcentral
AACGAACGCUGGCGGCAGGCCUAACACAUGCAAGUCGAACGCUCCAGCAAUGGAGAGUGGCAGACGGGUGAGUAACGCGUGGGAACCUUCCCUAUGGUUCGGAAUAGCUCAGGGAAACUUGAGGUAAUACCGGAUAAGCCCUUCGGGGAAGGAUUUAUCGCCAUUGGAUGGCCCGCGUAGGAUUAGCUAGUUGGUGAGGUAACGGCUCACCAAGGCGACGAUCCUUAGCUGGCUGAGAGGAUGAUCAGCCACACUGGAACUGAGACACGGUCCAGACUCCUACGGGAGGCAGCAGUGGGGAAUAUUGGACAAUGGGCGCAAGCCUGAUCCAGCCAUGCCGCGUGUGUGAAGAAGGCCUUC